RNAcentral lists this ribosomal RNA (464 nucleotides) under Vreelandella stevensii. RNAcentral's name for it is "partial 16S ribosomal RNA". It matches the Rfam family "Bacterial small subunit ribosomal RNA", at positions 338 to 795 of the family's 1533-position model. The record is from RNAcentral. Lineage: Bacteria; Pseudomonadati; Pseudomonadota; Gammaproteobacteria; Oceanospirillales; Halomonadaceae.
CCUACGGUGGCAGCAGUGGGGAAUAUUGGACAAUGGGCGAAAGCCUGAUCCAGCCAUGCCGCGUGUGUGAAGAAGGCCUUCGGGUUGUAAAGCACUUUCAGUGGGGAAGAAAGCCUUGGGGCUAAUACCCUCGAGGAAGGACAUCACCCACAGAAGAAGCACCGGCUAACUCCGUGCCAGCAGCCGCGGUAAUACGGAGGGUGCGAGCGUUAAUCGGAAUUACUGGGCGUAAAGCGCGCGUAGGCGGUCUGAUAAGCCGGUUGUGAAAGCCCCGGGCUCAACCUGGGAACGGCAUCCGGAACUGUCAGGCUAGAGUGCAGGAGAGGAAGGUAGAAUUCCCGGUGUAGCGGUGAAAUGCGUAGAGAUCGGGAGGAAUACCAGUGGCGAAGGCGGCCUUCUGGACUGACACUGACGCUGAGGUGCGAAAGCGUGGGUAGCAAACAGGAUUAGAUACCCUGGUAGUC